Cinara cedri is the source of this 369-nucleotide non-coding RNA. NCBI's taxonomy places the organism in Eukaryota, Metazoa, Arthropoda, Insecta, Hemiptera, Aphididae. The record is from the annotation of a GenBank genome assembly.
AUGUUAAUAUUUGAAAUUAUUUAGCUCUAAAAAACUCUAAGGAAUACUAAAAUAUACAGCUGAAUUAUUCGUUUAAGUUCGAAAAGUAUGAAAACUUAAUUAUAAACAGUCAAACACAAAUUUUAAAACUAACCAAAUUCAAGUAAUAUUGAAGCCUUUUGAUAUUUCUAAAUACUGUACUAAUGUACCAGGUGAUUCAUUUAAGUGGGUACACUCAUUAUCUCGAAAAGUGUUUACUUUUUCCGGAAUUUGUUUCCUAGAACAUUUAAGAAACAAGCUGCACCAUAAUUUUAUAUUUAUUUUGUUUUUUUGUCACCGUUAUUUUUGGGGGUGAAACCACUACCAAUUUUUGAUUUUAAAAUUGCAACC